UACCAGCUCCCUGAGUGGUAAGGACGAUUAUUGGGCCUAAAGCGUCCGUAGCCGGCUUGAUAAAUUUCCCGUUAAAUCCGGCGAUCCAAUCGUCGGGCUGCGGGAAAUACUGUUAAGCUUGGAGGCGGGAGAGGCCGGCGGUACUUUUGGGGUAGGGGUGAAAUCCUAUAAUCCCAAGAGGACCACCAGUGGCGAAGGCGGCCGGCCAGAACGCACUCGACGGUGAGGGGCGAAAGCUGGGGGAGCAAACCGGAUUAGAUACCCGGGUAGUCCCAGCUGUAAACGAUGCGGGCUAAGUGUCGGGAUGGUCAUAGUGCCACUCCGGUGCUGCAGGGAAGCCGUUAAGCCCGCCGCCUGGGGAGUACGGCCGCAAGGUUGAAACUUAAAGGAAUUGGCGGGGGAGCACCACAAGGGGUGAAGCUUGCGGUUC
RNAcentral lists this ribosomal RNA (430 nucleotides) under uncultured archaeon. RNAcentral describes it as "bacterial SSU rRNA". It matches the Rfam family "Archaeal small subunit ribosomal RNA", at positions 474 to 903 of the family's 1478-position model. The record is from RNAcentral.